This 1670-nucleotide ribosomal RNA is filed under the name Clostridioides difficile. RNAcentral's name for it is "partial 23S ribosomal RNA". It matches the Rfam family "Bacterial large subunit ribosomal RNA", at positions 1242 to 2925 of the family's 2925-position model. The record is from RNAcentral. Lineage: Bacteria; Bacillati; Bacillota; Clostridia; Peptostreptococcales; Peptostreptococcaceae.
CAUACGGGUUGAAGCAUGACCGUAAGGACAUGUGGACAGUAUGGGAGUGAGAAUGUUGGCAUGAGUAGCGAGAUGUGGGUGAGAAUCCCACAGGCCGUAAACCCAAGGUUUCCAGGGGAAGGUUCGUCCGCCCUGGGUUAGUCGGGACCUAAGCUGAGGCCGAAAGGCGUAGGUGAUGGACAACAGGUUGAUAUUCCUGUACUACCGAUAACCGUUUGAGAGAAGGGAUGACACAGUAGGAUAAGCUAAGCACACUGUUGGUUAUGUGUGCCCAAGCAUUGAGGCAGUCAAAGCAGGCAAAUCCGCUUUGAUAAUGCUGGGAUGUGAUGGGGAGCGAAAUUUAGUAGCGAAGUAGCUGAUUUCACACUGUCAAGAAAAGUCUCUAUCGAGGUUAAAGGUACCCGUACCGCAAACCGACACAGGUGGGUGAGGAGAGUAUCCUAAGGCCAGCGAGAGAACUGUUGUUAAGGAACUCGGCAAAAUGACCCCGUAACUUAGGGAUAAGGGGUGCCACCAUCCGGUGGCCGCAGAGAAUAGGCCCAAGCGACUGUUUACCAAAAACAUAGGUUUCUGCUAAGUCGCAAGACGAUGUAUAGGAGCUGACGCCUGCCCGGUGCUGGAAGGUUAAGGGGAUCUGUUAGAGCAAUCGAAGCAGUGAACUUAAGCCCCAGUAAACGGCGGCCGUAACUAUAACGGUCCUAAGGUAGCGAAAUUCCUUGUCGGGUAAGUUCCGACCCGCACGAAAGGCGUAACGAUUUGGGCACUGUCUCAACAACAGACUCGGUGAAAUUGUAAUUCCGGUGAAGAUGCCGGAUACCUGCGACAGGACGGAAAGACCCCAUGGAGCUUUACUGUAGCUUGACAUUGGGUCUUGGUACUACAUGUACAGGAUAGGUGGGAGGCUUUGAAACCAGGACGCCAGUUUUGGCGGAGCCAUCCUUGGGAUACCACCCUUGUAGUACUGGGACUCUAACCAUAGGCCAUGAAUCUGGUCUUGGGACACUGUCAGGUGGGCAGUUUGACUGGGGCGGUCGCCUCCCAAAAGGUAACGGAGGCGCUCAAAGGUUCUCUCAGUACGGUCGGAAAUCGUACGUAGAGUGUAAAGGCAAAAGAGAGCUUGAUUGCAAGACAUACAGGUCGAGCAAGGAUGAAAAUCGGACUUAGUGAUCCGGUGGUUCUGCGUGGAAGGGCCAUCGCUCAACGGAUAAAAGCUACCCUGGGGAUAACAGGCUUAUCUCCCCCAAGAGUCCACAUCGACGGGGAGGUUUGGCACCUCGAUGUCGGCUCAUCACAUCCUGGGGCUGUAGUAGGUCCCAAGGGUUGGGCUGUUCGCCCAUUAAAGUGGUACGCGAGCUGGGUUCAGAACGUCGUGAGACAGUUCGGUCCCUAUCCGUCGCAGGCGUAGGAAAUUUGAGAAGACCUGUCCUUAGUACGAGAGGACCGGGAUGGACGUACCUCUGGUGUACCAGUUGUUCUGCCAAGGGCAUGGCUGGGUAGCUAUGUACGGAAUGGAUAAGCGCUGAAAGCAUCUAAGCGCGAAGCCAACUUCAAGAUAAGAUUUCCCACCGCAAGGGUAAGACCCCAGAAAGACUAUCUGGUUGAUAGGUCGAAGGUGUAAGUGCAGCAAUGUAUUUAGCUUAUCGAUACUAAUAGGUCGAGGACUUGACCAA